GGUCUGUUAGCUCAGUUGGCAGAGCACUGUGUUCACAUCGCAGGGGUCACUGGUUCGAGCCCAGUACAGACCA
This 73-nucleotide transfer RNA is filed under the name Clostridia bacterium. RNAcentral describes it as "tRNA-Val". It matches the Rfam family "tRNA". From Rfam's summary of the family: Transfer RNA (tRNA) molecules are approximately 80 nucleotides in length. The record is from RNAcentral. Lineage: Bacteria; Bacillati; Bacillota; Clostridia.